UAUCUUCGGAUAUGAGUAGAGCGGCGGACGGGUGAGUAACGCGUAGGAAUCUACCUAGUAGAAGGGGAUAGCCCGGGGAAACCCGGAUUAAUACCGUAUACCUCCUUCGGGAGAAAGAAGGCCUCUCUUUGAAGCUUUCGCUACUAGAUGAGCCUGCGUAAGAUUAGCUUGUUGGUGAGGUAAAGGCUCACCAAGGCGACGAUCUUUAGCUGGUCUGAGAGGACGAUCAGCCACAUUGGGACUGAGACACGGCCCAGACUCCUACGGGAGGCAGCAGUGGGGAAUAUUGGACAAUGGGCGCAAGCCUGAUCCAGCCAUACCGCGUGUGUGAAGAAGGCCUUCGGGUUGUAAAGCACUUUAAGCAGGGAGAAAAAGUUAUAAGUUAAUACCUUAUAACCCUGAUGUUACCUGCAGAAUAAGCACCGGCUAAUUCCGUGCCAGCAGCCGCGGUAAUACGGAAGGUGCAAGCGUUAAUCGGAAUUACUGGGCGUAAAGCGCGCGUAGGUGGUUUGUUAAGUUGGAUGUGAAAGCCCUGGGCUCAACCUAGGAACUGCAUCCAAAACUAACUCACUAGAGUACGAUAGAGGGAGGUAGAAUUCAUAGUGUAGCGGUGGAAUGCGUAGAUAUUAUGAAGAAUACCAGUGGCGAAGGCGGCCUCCUGGAUCUGUACUGACACUGAGGUGCGAAAGCGUGGGUAGCGAACAGGAUUAGAUACCCUGGUAGUCCACGCCGUAAACGAUGACAACUAGCUGUUGGGAGACUAUGUCUUUCAGUGGCGCAGCUAACGCUUUAAGUUGUCCGCCUGGGGAGUACGGCCGCAAGGCUAAAACUCAAUGAAUUGACGGGACCCGCACAAGCGGUGGAGCAUGUGGUUUAUUCGAUGCACGCGAAAACCUUACCUACUCUUGACAUACUU
This 916-nucleotide ribosomal RNA is filed under the name uncultured marine bacterium. RNAcentral's name for it is "bacterial SSU rRNA". It matches the Rfam family "Bacterial small subunit ribosomal RNA", at positions 75 to 991 of the family's 1533-position model. The record is from RNAcentral.